GAGAGGCCUCUGUUCACAUGGCAGCAUGUGUGAGCGGAUGCUCCCGGAGCAGGUGGAGUGGUGGCACUGGAUAGCGGUGUACACUUAAAGCGUUCUGGGAAUAUGAAUCCCUUCUGCACCCUGGAAUCACCAGUCCAGCCAUGCAUGGAGCUGGGGAAAGCAGGCCCUGAAUUGUCUAGAGAGACUUGGUGGAGGAGGCCACGGCCCGCCUUGUCCCUGCCGGGUCCCAGCCAGGUGAGACUGGGCAUGAUUCAGAAAAGUUGGAAGAUCUAGAGAGGGAUCUUGCAAUCUGAAGUUUCUUGUUUAGUCACUGGAGGAUCUGAACGUCUAUGACACUCUUUCGAGCUGACACAGUGAAGAACAUGGAAGGAGAACUCACCCAGUCUGCCAGGUUAGGAUGUGGUGGGGGCUGCUUGGGGGGGUGGCUCCAAUUUCACUUGACGGUGUCGAGCUUCUCUGGCUUUGAGGUAAGGCAGCUACAUGCAGGUGGUGCAAGAAAGGCAGAGAGCAGACAGGGAUCAGACACAGGUGAAGGAGCUUGCGACUUGUUGGCUGACACCAACCCAGUGGCCAGAGGUCACCAUUUCCAGGGAUGCUGGGAAGGACCCCAGAUCAGGGUCUCAGCAUCCCUAUGGCAUGGUCACGGUGGGCAACCAUCUCUACAUGCCCCCCAACCUCUGCAUCCCACCCAUUCCAUUUUCUACCCACUACCAUGCACCUUCAUUCUGAGUCAAGCUGACCUGGGAUCCUAGGUCCCCACUUUGCCACCAGGAAGUAGGCAUAGGGAUGGUGACGGUUUCUACAGCAGCAAAGAACCUGAUGUCCCCAUAGUCCUUUGAGUGAGACCUAAGCAGGGCUCAUACAGGGAGGGCAUAUUUCUCUGGCCCCAGGGCAUUUUCAGUGUGGCCCUGUCAUGAAAUUGUUUCUCCCCAUUGUGAAGAGAGGGCAUCCAGAAAGGUUCUCAGAGCCUGCUCUCUCUGCUGUUUCAGGCUUAUCAUUGCUACUGUAGGGCGCUUUGAAGGGAGCAGGGCUUUUAAUAGCUCAUCCAAACCUGACCACUAUGCAUUUACUGAUGUAGGCAGCAUGGAAGUCCAGUUGGAAAGAUUUAGUAGGAAGUCAGUCCUACGUAAAUGCAUCCUUUGCUUUUUUGGUAAAGGAAUCCUUUCAAUCAGUAAACCUCAGAUACAGCUUAACAAUUUUAGUCUAAAAUACGUUCCAAAAGAUCUACCUCAUCGCUUUACAUAAAGCAAAUCUACUAGACCAGUGCUGCAGUUUCGAUAGAACAUAAACCCUCCUGUUUGUUGGAGAUAUUUACAAAACGUUGGUUCUUUAUCUAAUAGGGUCACAGAUGAUCAUACUCAAGAUCUUCCUGGGGAGUCAAUGGCAAAUUUCACUGGGCUAUUUUACAGAUGAAGAAGGAACAUAAAGAAGGUUCUGGGACCCU
RNAcentral lists this long non-coding RNA (1444 nucleotides) under Pan troglodytes (chimpanzee). RNAcentral's name for it is "lincRNA". Lineage: Eukaryota; Metazoa; Chordata; Mammalia; Primates; Hominidae. The record is from RNAcentral.